This 886-nucleotide ribosomal RNA is filed under the name Brachybacterium conglomeratum. RNAcentral describes it as "bacterial SSU rRNA". It matches the Rfam family "Bacterial small subunit ribosomal RNA", at positions 41 to 935 of the family's 1533-position model. The record is from RNAcentral. Lineage: Bacteria; Bacillati; Actinomycetota; Actinomycetes; Micrococcales; Dermabacteraceae.
AGGGUGCUUACCUGCAAGUCGAACGAUGACGGUGGUGCUUGCACCACCUGAUUAGUGGCGAACGGGUGAGUAACACGUGAGUAACCUGCCCCCCACUUCGGGAUAACCUCGGGAAAUCGUGGCUAAUACCGGAUACGAGCACUCAUCGCAUGGUGGGUGCUGGAAAGAUUUAUCGGUGGGGGAUGGACUCGCGGCCUAUCAGUUUGUUGGUGAGGUGAUGGCUCACCAAGACGAUGACGGGUAGCCGGCCUGAGAGGGCGACCGGCCACACUGGGACUGAGACACGGCCCAGACUCCUACGGGAGGCAGCAGUGGGGAAUAUUGCACAAUGGGCGAAAGCCUGAUGCAGCGACGCCGCGUGGGGGAUGACGGCCUUCGGGUUGUAAACCCCUUUCAGUAGGGAAGAAGCGAGAGUGACGGUACCUGCAGAAGAAGCGCCGGCUAACUACGUGCCAGCAGCCGCGGUAAUACGUAGGGCGCAAGCGUUGUCCGGAAUUAUUGGGCGUAAAGAGCUUGUAGGUGGCUUGUCGCGUCUGCCGUGAAAACCCGAGGCUCAACCUCGGGCGUGCGGUGGGUACGGGCAGGCUAGAGUGUGGUAGGGGAGACUGGAACUCCUGGUGUAGCGGUGAAAUGCGCAGAUAUCAGGAAGAACACCGAUGGCGAAGGCAGGUCUCUGGGCCAUUACUGACACUGAGAAGCGAAAGCAUGGGUAGCGAACAGGAUUAGAUACCCUGGUAGUCCAUGCCGUAAACGUUGGGCACUAUGUGUGGGGGACAUUCCACGUUUUCCGCGCCGUAGCUAACGCAUUAAGUGCCCCGCCUGGGGAGUACGGCCGCAAGGCUAAAACUCAAAGGGAAUUUGACCGGGGGCCCGCCACAAGCCGCCG